ACCUGCCUGGCUCAGUUAGUAGAGUGCAUGACUCUUGAUCUUGGGGUCAUGGGUUUGGGUCCCAUGGUGGGGG
Molecule: transfer RNA, 73 nt
Filed under: Canis lupus familiaris (dog)
Lineage: Eukaryota; Metazoa; Chordata; Mammalia; Carnivora; Canidae
Also listed under: 1 other name
Rfam family: tRNA
About the family: Transfer RNA (tRNA) molecules are approximately 80 nucleotides in length.
Source: Rfam by way of RNAcentral